This 404-nucleotide long non-coding RNA is filed under the name Setaria viridis. RNAcentral's name for it is "long non-coding RNA (SVIR_LNC004835)". Lineage: Eukaryota; Viridiplantae; Streptophyta; Magnoliopsida; Poales; Poaceae. The record is from RNAcentral.
GAAAUAUGAGAGGUGAAGGAGAUCUAAGCGAAGGGAUCAAGAAGGGGACAGGUGAAGGGGAUCUAAGUGAAGGGAUCGAGAAAGGGCAAGGGAUAUGGGGCAUGGGGGGAGAGAGAUUGUCACAAAUACCCUUGAUGGACGGGGUAGCGGUGUGUCUAUUGCUUGAGGGUGGAUAGCAACUGCCGCACUACAUUUGGCCUAUGUUCGAACCCAUGCGGCAGCAAAAUUUUUGCUCGCUUUUUAGGGGUCAUUCGGCAGACCUAUUAUUCAAUGUGGGCAUGUUUCUCUUCCUAGGCCAGAUCGAGUGGAUUCUGGUGGCUCACUCAAAUGUGGACCAGCUCUGCAGCAAUUUAAUCUUGGGUCUAACUUUGAAAUAGGCUGAGGCCUUAUUAUCUACGGGUUCC